GACGUAGGAGGCGAGCGUUAUCCGGAUUCACUGGGCGUAAAGCGCAAGUAGGCGGUUGUGAAAGUCCGUUGUUAAAGCCCCCGGCUCAACUGGGGAGGGUCACGCGAUACUGAUCGACUCGAAGGCAGGAGAGGGAAGUGGAAUUCCCGGUGUAGUGGUGAAAUGCGUAGAUAUCGGGAGGAACACCAGUGGCGAAGGCGACUUCCUGGCCUGUUCUUGACGCUGAGGCGCGAAAGCUAGGGGAGCAAACGGG
This 253-nucleotide ribosomal RNA is filed under the name uncultured bacterium. Its description in RNAcentral is "partial 16S ribosomal RNA". It matches the Rfam family "Bacterial small subunit ribosomal RNA", at positions 524 to 776 of the family's 1533-position model. The record is from RNAcentral.